GCGAAUAUGGCGAAAUUGGUAAACGCAACGGACUUAAAAUCCGUCCCUUGUUACAAGGUUGUGGGUUCGACUCCCACUAUUCGCA
Molecule: transfer RNA, 85 nt
Filed under: Weissella soli
Lineage: Bacteria; Bacillati; Bacillota; Bacilli; Lactobacillales; Lactobacillaceae
Rfam family: tRNA
About the family: Transfer RNA (tRNA) molecules are approximately 80 nucleotides in length. Their secondary structure includes four short double-helical elements and three loops (D, anti-codon, and T loops).
Source: Rfam by way of RNAcentral